CCUACGGGUGGCAGCAGUGGGGAAUAUUGCACAAUGGGCGAAACCCUGAUGCAGCAACGCCGCGUGAGUGAAGAAGGAUUUCGGUAUGUAAAGCUCUAUUAGCAGGGGAGUGAAGGACGGUACCUGACUAAGAUGCUCCGGCUAACUCCGUGCCCGCACCCGCGGCAAUACGUAGGGGGCCAGCGUUAUCCGGAUUUACUGGGUGUAAAGGGAGCGUAGAGGGCUGUAAAAGUCUGAAGUGAAAGCUCGUGGCUCAACCGUGGAACUGGAGUGGAAACUGUAAACCUGGAGUACUGGAGAGGCAAGCGGAAUUCGUAGUGUAGCGGUGAAAUGCGUAGAUAUUAGGAAGAACACCAGUGGCGAAGGCGGCCUGCUGGACGGAAACUGACGUUGAGGCUCGAAAGCGUGGGGAGCAAACAGGAUUAGAUACCCCAGUAGUC
This 440-nucleotide ribosomal RNA is filed under the name uncultured bacterium. Its description in RNAcentral is "partial 16S ribosomal RNA". It matches the Rfam family "Bacterial small subunit ribosomal RNA", at positions 338 to 795 of the family's 1533-position model. The record is from RNAcentral.